GAAGUAAGUUUUAUUCUAGCUAAAAAAUCAUUAUUAAAUAUAGUAACAUGUAAAGUUUUAUUCUAAAUGAAUUAAUUGCAGUUAAUAAAUUUUUAUAAAUAAGUGAAUUUAGAUAAAGUAAAUUUAGGUAAUAUUGAUUAAAUAUGUGCCAGCAUUCGCGGUUAAACAUAAAAUAUAAGUGAUUUUUUUUAAGAUGAAAUAAAUAUAAUUAUUUUUAUUUAUUAAAUUAUUUUAUGAAGUGAAAUAUAAUAAUAAUAAAAUGAAUUUUGAAUAAAAUUAAAUUUUUCGAAACAUUAAUAAUAAACUAGGAUUAGAUACCCUAUUAUAUAAUAAUUAAAAUGAAGUGGUCUUAAAUAUUAAUAGUUAUGGUCUUUAAACUUAAAGAAUUUGACGGUAUUUUAUCCUUUUAGAGGAAUCUGUUCUGUAAUUGAUAAUACACGAAUAGAUUUACUUAGUUUUGUUUAAUUUGUAUAUCAUUGUCAAAAAAUUAUCUUAAGAAAAGAAUAUUUUUAAUAAAAAAUAAUAAUUUGUAUGUCAAAUCAUGAUGCAGUAUAUAACUAAGGUAGAAAUGGAUUACAUUUUUAUAGUAAACGAAUAAGUUAUUUAAUAAAACUAUUGAAGUUGGAUUUAAAUGUAAAUUAAUAUAUUGUUUAAUUGAUUAAGGUUCUAAAAUAUGUACAUAUCGCCCGUCACUCUCAUUUAAGAUGAGAUAAGUCGUAACAAAGUAGAUGUACUGGAAAGUGUAUCUAGAAAG
Molecule: non-coding RNA, 754 nt
Filed under: Natula pravdini
Lineage: Eukaryota; Metazoa; Arthropoda; Insecta; Orthoptera; Trigonidiidae
Source: RNAcentral